UACUCGAGUGGCGAACGGGUGAGUAACACGUGGGUGAUCUGCCCUGCACUUCGGAUAAGCUUGGGAAACUGGGUCUAAUACCGGAUAGGAACCAUCUUUAGUGUGGUGGUUGGAAAGUUUUUUCGGUGUAGGAUGAGCUCGCGGCCUAUCAGCUUGUUGGUGGGGUAAUGGCCUACCAAGGCUUUGACGGGUAGCCGGCCUGAGAGGGUGACCGGCCACAUUGGGACUGAGAUACGGCCCAG
Molecule: ribosomal RNA, 242 nt
Filed under: uncultured Actinomycetales bacterium
Lineage: Bacteria; Bacillati; Actinomycetota; Actinomycetes; Actinomycetales
Description: partial 16S ribosomal RNA
Rfam family: Bacterial small subunit ribosomal RNA
Source: RNAcentral